AUGGUUGACGACGCCCUCCUCUGUAGGCGCGUCGAAGCGGCGCCCUCCGGCGCUGGAAUUCGCCACAUGACUGCCGACGGCAGUGGCGGCAAAUGGCAAGGCCUCUCUAUGGCCAGAGGAAGCCAGCCUGGCGAUCUGCAAUUGUCGCAGACGAUGACUGGAGAAGUCUGGACAAGUUGGCUACUAGAGUUUCGGCCACCACGCGAUUCACGGCGAAGACGAGAUGUUCCUUAUACAAAAAGGAAAGAAACUAAUCAGGAGAUUGAUCGAUUGAUCAAGUCUUCUUGCAAUCAUCAAUUAAUAAUCUAA
RNAcentral lists this ribosomal RNA (309 nucleotides) under Triticum aestivum (bread wheat). RNAcentral's name for it is "partial small subunit ribosomal RNA". The record is from RNAcentral. Lineage: Eukaryota; Viridiplantae; Streptophyta; Magnoliopsida; Poales; Poaceae.